RNAcentral lists this ribosomal RNA (468 nucleotides) under uncultured bacterium. RNAcentral's name for it is "partial 16S ribosomal RNA". It matches the Rfam family "Bacterial small subunit ribosomal RNA", at positions 28 to 507 of the family's 1533-position model. The record is from RNAcentral.
GACGAACGCUGGCGGCGUGCUUAGCACAUGCAAGUCGAACGGAAAGGCCCUGCUUUUGUGGGGAGCUCGAGUGGCGAACGGGUGAGUAACACGUGAGUAACCUGCCCUUGACUUUGGGAUAACUUCAGGAAACUGGGGCUAAUACCGGAUAGGAGCUCCUGCUGCAUGGUGGGGGUUGGAAAGUUUCGGCGGUUGGGGAUGGACUCGCGGCUUAUCAGCUUGUUGGUGGGGUAGUGGCUUACCAAGGCUUUGACGGGUAGCCGGCCUGAGAGGGUGACCGGCCACAUUGGGACUGAGAUACGGCCCAGACUCCUACGGGAGGCAGCAGUGGGGAAUAUUGCACAAUGGGCGGAAGCCUGAUGCAGCAACGCCGCGUGCGGGAUGACGGCCUUCGGGUUGUAAACCGCUUUCGCCUGUGACGAAGCGUGAGUGACGGUAAUGGGUAAAGAAGCACCGGCUAACUACGUG